CCUACGGGUGGCCGCAGUGGGGAAUAUUGCACAAUGGGGGAAACCCUGAUGCAGCAACGCCGCGGGUGUGAAGAAGUAUUUCGGUAUGUAAAGCCCUAUCAGCAGAGAAGAAGAACGACUGUACCUGACUAAGAAGCCCCGGCUAACUACGUACCAGAAGCCGCGGUAAUACGUAGGCGGCAAGCGUUAGCCGGAUGUACUGGGUGUAAAGGGAGCGUAGACGGCGGGUCACGUCUGAAGUGAAAGCCCGUGGCUCAACCUCGGAACUGCUUGGGAAAAUGGCUAGCUUGAGUACUGGAGAGGCAGGGGGAAUUCCUAGUGUAGCGGUGAAAUGCGUAGAUAUUAGGAGGAACACCAGUGGCGAAGGCGGCCUGCUGGACAGAAACUGACGUUGAGGUUCGAAAGCGUGGGGAGCAAACAGGAUUAGAUACCCCAGUAGUC
Molecule: ribosomal RNA, 441 nt
Filed under: uncultured bacterium
Lineage: Bacteria
Description: partial 16S ribosomal RNA
Rfam family: Bacterial small subunit ribosomal RNA
Source: RNAcentral